CUACGGGAGGCUGCAGUGGGGAAUAUUGGACAAUGGGGGAAACCCUGAUCCAGCAAUGCCGCGUGUGUGAAGAAGGCCUGCGGGUUGUAAAGCACUUUCGGUUGGGAGGACUGCUUCUAGCACUAAUAUUGUUGGAAGUUGACGUUACCUUCAGAAGAAGCACCGGCUAACUCCGUGCCAGCAGCCGCGGUAAUACGGAGGGUGCAAGCGUUAAUCGGAAUUACUGGGCGUAAAGCGCGCGUAGGCGGCUAGAUCAGUCGGGUGUGAAAGCCCCGGGCUUAACCUGGGAACUGCAUCCGAUACUGUCUAGCUUGAGUACCGGAGAGGAGAGUGGAAUUCCACAUGUAGCGGUGAAAUGCGUAGAUAUGUGGAGGAACACCAAUGGCGAAGGCAGCUCUCUGGCCUGAUACUGACGCUGAGGUGCGAAGGCGUGGGGAGCAAACAGGAUUAGAUACCCUUGUAGUC
RNAcentral lists this ribosomal RNA (465 nucleotides) under uncultured bacterium. Its description in RNAcentral is "partial 16S ribosomal RNA". It matches the Rfam family "Bacterial small subunit ribosomal RNA", at positions 339 to 795 of the family's 1533-position model. The record is from RNAcentral.